Molecule: ribosomal RNA, 244 nt
Filed under: uncultured bacterium
Lineage: Bacteria
Description: partial 16S ribosomal RNA
Rfam family: Bacterial small subunit ribosomal RNA
Source: RNAcentral
GCAAGUCGAACGGAAACAUGUCUAGCUUGCUAGAUGAUGUCGAGUGGCGGACGGGUGAGUAAUACUUAGGAACAUGCCUUUGGGUGGGGGAUAACUAUUGGAAACGAUAGCUAAUACCGCAUAAUGUCUUUGGACCAAAGGGGGCUUCGGCUCCCGCCCAAAGAGUGGCCUAAGCGAGAUUAGCUUGUUGGUGAGGUAAAGGCUCACCAAGGCGACGAUCCCUAGCUGGUUUGAGAGGAUGAUC